Molecule: RNA transcript, 2966 nt
Organism: Mus musculus (house mouse)
Lineage: Eukaryota; Metazoa; Chordata; Mammalia; Rodentia; Muridae
Gene name: predicted gene, 21276
Exons: 3
Source: RefSeq, marked validated
GGAGCUACCUGUAAACAAAUUGGAUCACAGGCAACCUAUGACCAGUGAGAAAUGUCUGCUAGUGGACAGAGGGACCAGUUUGGUGAGAAGAUCAGUCAAGGACAACCAUUUAUCCUGCUCCAUUGUAACAUGAAUUACUGCUAUUCCCUCCCACCCUUGCCUUGACAAUGUCAGAAAAUUUCCAAGGCACACCUAUUUUUGAUACAGAAAGCACUCUACAGCUCUCUCUGCCUGUGCUGAACAAUUCCACACCCUCAGGAAUAGUGUGCAACUACGCCAGUGCCUCCUUCCCACCUGUGAGUUCAGCAUGGCUCCUGCCAUCAGCAUCCAGAACUUCUCUCCAGCCACUCAUGGGCACUGACUACCUUAACCCAAAUUCUAGCAUGACUAUGCUGACAAUGCUGAGUGACCAGAGCCAGGUCUCCAACUCCACACUCUCCUGUCCAGUGGUGGAACUGGAUACAUCCCUGGGAUUGUCGCCUUCAGGCCAAACACUUUCUCUGCUACAGAGUCCAGAAUUAUACAUCACUUGCACCACAGUUUCCCAGAGGAAGACACCAUCUGUUGAUGGGGACCGGCCAUUAACAACCCCUAUCCCUAGCCAUGCAGAAUUCCUCGCCUUGCCUGCAGCUCCAAGAUCUGAACAAACAGAGAUUAAAAACAUGCAUGAGAUGGAAGUUGAGCACUUGAUGCCUCGGGAUGCCUAUGAGGAUACUAAAGAAAAUCAAGACCCAUCAUUCCUCCCUUUAUCACACCCUGACUUGCAGCAGACUCUGCACUGCACUGACACUGGGAGAAUAAGACAGACAUCUGCUUCUGACAAUGCCAGCUUGGGAGGCAUCCGCCUAGGUCUGGAAGAGAAAGGAACACUGAACAGUUUGAUGGUGUCUACUAUUGACUUUGCAAAUAUCACUACAUUGGUGGCAGAUAUUGACCUUCCCCAACUCUUCAACUUCCUCACAGGCCUAGAUCAAUACAAAGAUACAAACAGCAAUUGAAUCCAAAAACUCCACAGUCAUCUGGAGGGAUCAGGCCCAAGAAAAUUCCAGAGUCAUCAGUGGGUCCUCUGACCAGGUGAGAAAGAAAGACCAUGACGCCUCUGAGUUGAUUGAUGGAGCUCCUCAGGCCAAAAUCCAAAACUUGGAUCUGGUGGAGGGAGAAGGGGCUAUGGCCAGUGUUGGGGUCAGUGGCAGGGCUAUUGACAACAUGGCUAAGGACUUGGAGGACAAAGCUCCCAAAGUGCCACCCAUCAUGCCCUGCAGAGCUAGGGGACAAGGGCAAGACAAGACCAAAUGGACCAGAGAAAAUAAUUCCAAGAAAACAGAGGAGCUCAAGAAGUCAAGGACAGAGUCAAAGCUGAAGAGAAGCCCACCAUCCCCAAGCCAAGAUAAAGAGGGAUCUACCCGAGCUUAGCCACAGCAGCUUCAAAAAGCCUAGAACCCACCUUGGCAUGCACAUGCUGAAGUCUGUGCAGGUCUUCCACCCUCUGGGGAUGAAGAGUGAGAAGAAAGCUGCCACCACUUCUUCCCGGGCUCUGGAAACUUUUAGCAACAACAAGUAUCCCGGGCCAGGCCCAGCCACAAUAGUACUACAGGAUAUGCCACAUGAGUGCCAGGGCCCUGACAAAACUCCAGGCAAGGUUCAGAGAGCAGAGAGCAGUGCUCUCAAGGAGUGUCCAUCUUAGUCUCAGUAUGAGCUGCCCCCAGCUGGGAAGGUCAGGUUAGUAGCUCUGCCUUUCCCAACCCAGGACCAUCCUCAAGCCAGACCUGUUUCUAGAAAGCCCCUCAAUCUGGCUUCACACAGGCCCACUACAGCUUACUCUGAGAGGUGUCAUUUUCUCUCAGCUCAGCUUACCACACUCAAGCCAUCCCAACCACCUUCUAUCAGCAAAUCUUUGAUGGCUUCUGCCAAGCCAGCUCUGCCAAUUUCUUCCAGUUCCACACGAUCUAAUGUAACCAACAUCAUCUACAUUAGCACUGUGCCUCAGUCAGGCACCUUGAGGCCUACAUCCUAUAGAGAACCAUCUCAGACUUCCCUCCAGAUGGAGCUUCUUUCUGCUGCCAAGAACAAGGUUCCAGCACCUCUUGAACCUCAAACUCAAUAUCUGUUGCAAGACUUCAGCUGCCAACCCAUUCCAUGGAGAAAAGUUGACAUUCUGGGACCAGUUGUCUCACAGCCCAUCACAAAAGAGCAGAGGCCAGGGAGGGAGGCCAUGAAGAGGAGGGCUCAACAGGAGUGAGAGAAUGCUGCCAAGUAUACCUCUCCUGGGAAACUGCAGCUUUUUCUCCAGAGGGAAAAAGAUAUGGAAAUUUCCCCAUAUUAUGGCUAUGCAAUGUAAGAGCUGCCCAGAUCUUUCAGUGUGGACAAGGAUAAAUAUAGACACUGAUACAUACGUAUACAUGAGUAGUAUAUGAAUGUGUAGUAGUGACAUGGGUACAUCUGUGUUAUGUAAAUGUUUGUUUAUAAAAAUUGACAGACAAAUUUUCUAUCAUACUUGUAAAUAUUUGACUGGAGAAAUUUAAGUCAAUCCUUUAAUUCAUGGUAUAUAGUGGAUUUGUUUUUAUUCUCAUGACUGAUUUUUAAAAAUCUAGGUUGCUCAAGUGAUAUAUGUUACAUAAAUAUAUCAUAUGAUAUAAAAUUCUGAUAAUAUUUAUUAUUAAAGCAAUUCAUCAAUAGCUAUAGUGGUAAUAAAUUUAUUCUCCUUGAUAUUUUCAUUGUACUAGUCACUGAACAUGGUGUGUUCCCUAAAAUUUAUACUGUAAUCUGAAGACACUCGAGCUGUUACCAGUUCCUCUCACCCCAGCUCUUACUCAUUAUUCUGUAACAGAACUUUUCCUGCAAUUUGUGAGAUGAAAUACAGGCUUUCAUGUAUAUACAACCUAGCACUCAUACACGAGAAAAACAUUAUCAGGAUGAAUAUGUUUCUGAAAUGGAUUGAAUUAGAUAAAUGUAUUUGUCUCAAGUUG